AAUAUUGCGCAAUGGGGGAAACCCUGACGCAGCGACGCCGCGUGAACGAUGAAGGCCUUCGGGUCGUAAAGUUCUGUCCUCAGGGAAGAAUGUGGUCAUUUAUGACGCCUUGACGGUACCUGAGGAGGAAGCCCCGGCUAACGACGUGCCCGCAGCCGCGGUAAUACGGAGGGUGCGAGCGUUGUUCGGAAUUACUGGGCGUAAAGCGCGCGCAGGCGGAUGUGCAAGUCGAAGGUGAAAUCCCGGGGCUCAACCCUGGGACUGCUCUCGGUACUGCAUGUCUAGGGACCGGUAGAGGUCGGUGGAAUUCCCGGUGUAGCGGUGGAAUGCGUAGAUAUCGGGAGGAACACCUGUGGCGAAGGCGGCCGACUGGGCCGGAUCCGACGCUGAGGCGCGAAAGCGUGGGGAGCAAAC
This 414-nucleotide ribosomal RNA is filed under the name uncultured bacterium. RNAcentral's name for it is "partial 16S ribosomal RNA". It matches the Rfam family "Bacterial small subunit ribosomal RNA", at positions 360 to 773 of the family's 1533-position model. The record is from RNAcentral.